This 568-nucleotide ribosomal RNA is filed under the name Kurtzmaniella natalensis. RNAcentral's name for it is "eukaryotic LSU rRNA". It matches the Rfam family "Eukaryotic large subunit ribosomal RNA", at positions 69 to 658 of the family's 3401-position model. Lineage: Eukaryota; Fungi; Ascomycota; Pichiomycetes; Serinales; Debaryomycetaceae. The record is from RNAcentral.
CACAGAUCGCCUUAGUACGGCGAGUGAAGCGGCAAAAGCUCAAAUUUGAAAUCUGGCACUUUCAGUGUCCGAGUUGUAAUUUGAAGAAGGUAACUCUGGAGUUGGCCCUUGUCUAUGUUCCUUGGAACAGGACGUCACAGAGGGUGAGAAUCCCGUGCGAUGGGGUGUCCAAUUCUAUGUAGAGUGCUUUCGAAGAGUCGAGUUGUUUGGGAAUGCAGCUCUAAGUGGGUGGUAAAUUCCAUCUAAAGCUAAAUAUUGGCGAGAGACCGAUAGCGAACAAGUACAGUGAUGGAAAGAUGAAAAGAACUUUGAAAAGAGAGUGAAAAAGUACGUGAAAUUGUUGAAAGGGAAGGGCUUGAGAUCAGACUCGGUAUUUUGCGAUCCUAUCCUUCGUGGAGAGGUUUCACUUGCAGCUUACCGGGCCAGCAUCGGUUUGGAUGGUAGGAUAAUGACAUUGGAAUGUGGCUUUUCGGAGUGUUAUAGCCUUUGUUGAUACUGCCUAUCUAGACCGAGGACUGCGUCUUUGACUAGGAUGCUGGCAUAAUGAUCUUAAGCCGCCCGUCUUGAA